Molecule: long non-coding RNA, 943 nt
Filed under: Rattus norvegicus (Norway rat)
Lineage: Eukaryota; Metazoa; Chordata; Mammalia; Rodentia; Muridae
Description: long non-coding RNA NONRATT026168
Source: RNAcentral
GAGUCCCGUAUUUAUUAAUGCACACUUUUACUGCUCCUUACACAUCCAAGUUAUUCUUUGGUUCCUGUAGUUUCUAAGGCUGCUUUAAGCAAAGCCAUUUAGCCUUAGGAAAGGGAAGACACCAUGUGAUUCUGUUUACAACUGAUCUAUUCACUAUCCCACCUCCCAGUCCAGCCUGGGUGUUGAACUGGUCCUCCCUGAAUGCCAGCAUUUUUUACCUAUAUUACCCAGUCACUAGAGAGAGAGAGAGAGAGAGAGAGAGAGAGAGAGAGAGAGAGAGAGAGAGAUGGAAGACCCAGAAUUCAGUGGACCAAGUGGAAGAGAAGGAAAUGAUCAGAUCAUGUGACCCUAAUCCUAUGGUCUUAGCCUUUCCUGAGAACUGCUCUAUCUCUAGACCUCAUCCCUCAUCCCCCCUUUUCCCAUAACAUUACUAAAGAAUAGUCAGCUGUCAGGCUAGAACGGUAGCAACAUUAUAGAACUGGCUGGCUGCUCCAGUGAGCUGCUCUGUAUAGUGACAUGGGAUUGGACACCUAAGGCCAGCAGGUGCUAAGGACGGUGGGCAUUGGAGAUGCUAAGUAGGAGAAUACUGCCUGUCUCCCCUAAGCUGUGGUCUCACUGUCCCUGGAGAGGCUGUUUUAUGUGUCUGCUGCCAGCUGCCAGUCUCCACACCCUCAACCAUUCUCAACUCCCCCUGCAGGGAGAAGGCCUCCUGGGCACUGUCCUUCCACCUGUGCCAGCCACCCCCUGCCCCACUGCUGAAUGAAGGCCAUUUCAAGUGCUGCUUCUCCCUCCCCAGCUGUUAUUGCUGCAGGGCCACGCCCCCUUUAGUGCCCACCAGCACAGCCCCUCUCAGCCCUCGGCCAGUGGGAGGGGCUAGCUGCGUCUCUAGGACAGUUGCUUCCUCCGUUUAGCCAAACUACUCCUCUCCUCCCCCACGGAAUGG